Molecule: ribosomal RNA, 400 nt
Filed under: uncultured bacterium
Lineage: Bacteria
Description: bacterial SSU rRNA
Rfam family: Bacterial small subunit ribosomal RNA
Source: RNAcentral
GGGGAAUAUUGCACAAUGGGCGAAAGCCUGAUGCAGCAACGCCGCGUGAGUGAUGACGGUCUCCGGAUUGUAAAGCUCUGUCUUUUGGGACGAUAAUGACGGUACCAAAGGAGAAAGCCACGGCUAACUACGUGCCAGCAGCCGCGGUAAUACGUAGGUGGCAAGCGUUGUCCGGAUUUACUGGGCGUAAAGAAUGUGUAGGCGGAUACUUAAGUGAGAUGUGAAAGCCCCGGGCUCAACCUGGGGACUGCAUUUCAAACUGGGUAGCUAGAGUGCAGGAGAGGAAAGCGGAAUUCCUAGUGUAGCGGUGAAAUGCGUAGAGAUUAGGAAGAACAGCAGUGGCGAAGGCGGCUUUCUGGACUGUAACUGACGCUGAGGCAUGAAAGCGUGGGGAGCAAAC